Molecule: long non-coding RNA, 256 nt
Filed under: Lathyrus oleraceus (garden pea)
Lineage: Eukaryota; Viridiplantae; Streptophyta; Magnoliopsida; Fabales; Fabaceae
Description: Pisum sativum (pea) long non-coding RNA (PSAT_LNC023951)
Source: RNAcentral
UUAUCACGUGGCAAUAUCAUAUCGCUGGAGACCUAUUUUUUUGUAGCGACUAUCGCGGUGUGACAAAUAUUCGAGCGUAAGGAACACUCGAAAUAUAAACAAAAUAGAGACGUCACUAAACUUUAUUUAUUUCCAAAGAGGGAAAAAAUAUUGAUAAAAUCUACGAAAAACAAAAAGAAAUGAUCAUAGUAACCAAAUCAGGUUCGGGAUUCAGUUAUGCAAGGGGAAGGUAUUAGUAUCCAUCACAUCUGUUGUA